ACGGAGGCAGCAGUAGGGAAUAUUGCACAAUGGGGGAAACCCUGAUGCAGCGACGCCGCGUGAGUGAUGAAGUAUUUCGGUACGUAAAGCUCUAUCAGCAGGGAAGAUAAUGACGGUACCUGAAUAAGAAGCCCCGGCUAACUACGUGCCAGCAGCCGCGGUAAUACGUAGGGGGCAAGCGUUAUCCGGAUUUACUGGGUGUAAAGGGAGUGUAGGUGGUCUGGCAAGUCAGAUGUGAAAGCCCGCGGCUCAACUGCGGGACUGCAUUUGAAACUGUCAGACUGGAGUGCAGGAGAGGAAAGUGGAAUUCCUAGUGUAGCGGUGAAAUGCGUAGAUAUUAGGAAGAACACCAGUGGCGAAGGCGGCUUUCUGGACUGUAACUGACACUGAGGCUCGAAAGCGUGGGGAGCAAACAGGAUUAGAUACCCUGGUA
Molecule: ribosomal RNA, 433 nt
Filed under: uncultured Lachnospiraceae bacterium
Lineage: Bacteria; Bacillati; Bacillota; Clostridia; Lachnospirales; Lachnospiraceae
Description: partial 16S ribosomal RNA
Rfam family: Bacterial small subunit ribosomal RNA
Source: RNAcentral